This 1339-nucleotide ribosomal RNA is filed under the name uncultured bacterium. RNAcentral describes it as "bacterial SSU rRNA". It matches the Rfam family "Bacterial small subunit ribosomal RNA", at positions 28 to 1387 of the family's 1533-position model. The record is from RNAcentral.
GACGAACGCUGGCGGCACGCUUAACACAUGCAAGUCGAACGAGAGAAGAGAAGCUUGCUUUUCUGAUCUAGUGGCGGACGGGUGAGUAACACGUGAGCAAUCUGCCUUUCAGAGGGGGAUACCGAUUGGAAACGAUCGUUAAUACCGCAUAACAUAAUUGAACCGCAUGAUUUGAUUAUCAAAGAUUUAUCGCUGAAAGAUGAGCUCGCGUCUGAUUAGCUAGUUGGUAAGGUAACGGCUUACCAAGGCGACGAUCAGUAGCCGGACUGAGAGGUUGAUCGGCCACAUUGGGACUGAGACACGGCCCAGACUCCUACGGGAGGCAGCAGUGGGGAAUAUUGCACAAUGGAGGAAACUCUGAUGCAGCGAUGCCGCGUGAGGGAAGAAGGUUUUAGGAUUGUAAACCUCUGUUUUCAGGGACGAAAAAAGACGGUACCUGAGGAGGAAGCUCCGGCUAACUACGUGCCAGCAGCCGCGGUAAUACGUAGGGAGCGAGCGUUGUCCGGAAUUACUGGGUGUAAAGGGAGCGUAGGCGGGAUCGCAAGUCAGAUGUGAAAACUAUGGGCUUAACCCAUAAACUGCAUUUGAAACUGUGGUUCUUGAGUGAAGUAGAGGUAAGCGGAAUUCCUAGUGUAGCGGUGAAAUGCGUAGAUAUUAGGAGGAACAUCAGUGGCGAAGGCGGCUUACUGGGCUUUAACUGACGCUGAGGCUCGAAAGCGUGGGGAGCAAACAGGAUUAGAUACCCUGGUAGUCCACGCCGUAAACGAUGAUUAAUAGGUGUGGGGGGACUGACCCCUUCCGUGCCGCAGCAAACGCAAUAAGUAAUCCACCUGGGGAGUACGACCGCAAGGUUGAAACUCAAAGGAAUUGACGGGGGCCCGCACAAGCAGUGGAGUAUGUGGAUUAAUUCGAAGCAACGCGAAGAACCUUACCAGGUCUUGACAUCGUAUGCAUAGCUCAGAGAUGAGUGAAAUCUCUUCGGAGACAUAUAGACAGGUGGUGCAUGGUUGUCGUCAGCUCGUGUCGUGAGAUGUUGGGUUAAGUCCCGCAACGAGCGCAACCCUUACUGUUAGUUGCUACGCAAGAGCACUCUAGCAGGACUGCCGUUGACAAAACGGAGGAAGGUGGGGAUGACGUCAAAUCAUCAUGCCCCUUAUGACCUGGGCCUCACACGUACUACAAUGGCUGUCAACAGAGGGAUGCAAAGCCGCGAGGUGGAGCGAACCCCUAAAAGCAGUCUUAGUUCGGAUUGUAGGCUGCAACCCGCCUACAUGAAGUCGGAAUUGCUAGUAAUCGCAGAUCAGCAUGCUGCGGUGAAUACGUUCCCGGGCCUUGCACA